Molecule: long non-coding RNA, 427 nt
Organism: Oncorhynchus tshawytscha (Chinook salmon)
Lineage: Eukaryota; Metazoa; Chordata; Actinopteri; Salmoniformes; Salmonidae
Source: Ensembl
GUCUGGUAGGUGUUGCAGCUGAAGUUCUUGUUGCUGAGGCAGGUUAGGAACCCUCUGGAGAUGCUGGAGAGGAGUGGUUUCAGUUUCACCUCCAUCCACACCUUUAUCAGGUCCUCAUCUUGGUAGGCUUCUGUCUCUGGGUUCACACUGAUACCCAGCUCUAGUUUGAACACUGGGGUCUGGGAUAGACUGGAUCUCUGCAGAGGGGGAGACAGGGGUUAAAGUUCACACUGAUACCCAGCUCUAGUUUGAACACUGGGGUCUGGGAUAGACUGGAUCUCUGGAGAGGGGGAGACAGGGGUUAAGGUUCACACUAAUACCCAGCUCUAGUCUGAACACUGGGGUCUGGGAUAGACUGGAUCUCUGGAGAGGGGGAGACAGGGGUUAAGGUUCACAAUGAUACCCAGCUCUAGUCCUAACACUGGGG